AGCUAGCCUAUAUACUAAUUUAACUAGACCUUAUAAAUCUAAUCUACAUUACAACUUUUAAUCAAAACAUUCUUAACCUUUUAGUAUGGGUGACAGAACAAUAACCCCAGCGCAAUAGCUCAUGUACCGCAAGGGAAAGCUGAAAAAGAAAUGAAACAAAUCAUUAAAGUACUAAAAAGCAGAGAUUAUACCUCGUACCUUUUGCAUCAUGAUUUAGCUAGAAAAACUAGGCAAAAAGACCUUAAGUCUAUCUUCCCGAAACUAAACGAGCUACUCCGAAGCAGCACUAUAGAGCUAACCCGUCUCUGUGGCAAAAGAGUGGGAAGACUUCCGAGUAGCGGUGAAAAGCCUACCGAGUUUAGUGAUAGCUGGUUACCCAAGAAAAGAACUUUAGUUCUGCAUUAAUUUUUUACCAUCUAAACAAGAUUUUCUUGUUAAAGAAACCUAUAAGAAUUAAUAGUUAUUUAGAAGAGGUACAACCCUUCUAAAUCAAGAUACAACUUUCUAAGGUGGGAAAUGAUCAUAAUUACUAAGGUUACCAUCUCAGUGGGCCUAAAAGCAGCCAUCUGUUAAGUAAGCGUCGCAGCUCUAAUCUAAUAAUAACCUUUAAUCCAGAUAUUCAUUCACAACCCCCUUUAUUCUAUUGGGUUAUUUUAUAUUUAUAUAAAAGAACUUAUGCUAAAAUGAGUAAUAAAGAGAAUAAAUCUCUCCCGACACAAGUGUAUGUCAGAAAGAAUUAAAUCGCUGAUAAUUAAACGACCCCAAACUGAGGUUAUUAUAUCACUUAACCAUUAACUAGAAAACCCUAUUCUCACAAUCGUUA
This 823-nucleotide ribosomal RNA is filed under the name Carcharhinus limbatus (blacktip shark). Its description in RNAcentral is "partial 16S ribosomal RNA". The stretch from base 177 to 823 matches the Rfam family "Bacterial large subunit ribosomal RNA", at positions 568 to 1414 of the family's 2925-position model. Lineage: Eukaryota; Metazoa; Chordata; Chondrichthyes; Carcharhiniformes; Carcharhinidae. The record is from RNAcentral.